RNAcentral lists this ribosomal RNA (788 nucleotides) under Salmonella enterica subsp. enterica serovar Cannstatt. RNAcentral describes it as "partial 23S ribosomal RNA". The stretch from base 82 to 788 matches the Rfam family "Bacterial large subunit ribosomal RNA", at positions 568 to 1253 of the family's 2925-position model. Lineage: Bacteria; Pseudomonadati; Pseudomonadota; Gammaproteobacteria; Enterobacterales; Enterobacteriaceae. The record is from RNAcentral.
AAGCCAGUGGUGGACUCCACAUACGCAUCCUUUGCUGAAGGCAAUGGUUAACGGAGCGAAAGCGACGUUCAACCGCAAAAGAAGCAGAGGGGGCUUAGUGGUGGGGUGACUGCGUACCUUUUGUAUAAUGGGUCAGCGACUUAUAUUCUGUAGCAAGGUUAACCGUAUAGGGGAGCCGCAGGGAAACCGAGUCUUAACCGGGCGUUAAGUUGCAGGGUAUAGACCCGAAACCCGGUGAUCUAGCCAUGGGCAGGUUGAAGGUUGGGUAACACUAACUGGAGGACCGAACCGACUAAUGUUGAAAAAUUAGCGGAUGACCUGUGGCUGGGGGUGAAAGGCCAAUCAAACCGGGAGAUAGCUGGUUCUCCCCGAAAGCUAUUUAGGUAGCGCCUCGUGAACUCAUCUCCGGGGGUAGAGCACUGUUUCGGCUAGGGGGCCAUCCCGGCUUACCAACCCGAUGCAAACUGCGAAUACCGGAGAAUGUUAUCACGGGAGACACACGGCGGGUGCUAACGUCCGUCGUGAAGAGGGAAACAACCCAGACCGCCAGCUAAGGUCCCAAAGUCAUGGUUAAGUGGGAAACGAUGUGGGAAGGCCCAGACAGCCAGGAUGUUGGCUUAGAAGCAGCCAUCAUUUAAAGAAAGCGUAAUAGCUCACUGGUCGAGUCGGCCUGCGCGGAAGAUGUAACGGGGCUAAACCAUGCACCGAAGCUGCGGCAGCGAACGUAUCACCCAAGACAACUUUACGGAGUUGACGAUUGACGGAGCGAAGCGACGUCAAAGCGUUCA